AGAGUUUGAUCAUGGCUCAGGACGAACGCUGGCGGCGCGCUUAACACAUGCAAGUCGAGCGAGAACCCAGGCUUCGGCCUGGGGGAAAGCGGCGAACGGGUGAGUAACACGUGAGUAAUCUGCCCUCGACAUCGGGAUAGCCCGGGGAAACCCGGAUUAAUACCGAAUGGCCCAUCAGCUUUUCGAAGCGGAUGGAAAAGGUAGCUUCGGCCUCCGGUCGAGGAGGAGCUCGCGGCGGAUUAGCUUGUUGGUGAGGUAACGGCUCACCAAGGCUCCGAUCCGUAGCUGGUCUGUGAGGAUGACCAGCCAGACUGGGACUGAGACACGGCCCAGACUCCUACGGGAGGCAGCAGUGGGGAAUCUUGCACAAUGGGGGCAACCCUGAUGCAGCGACGCCGCGUGAGCGAUGAAGCCCUUCGGGGUGUAAAGCUCUUUCGUCAGGGAAGAUCAUGACGGUACCUGGAGAAGCAGCUGCGGCUAACUACGUGCCAGCCGCCGCGGUAAUAC
Molecule: ribosomal RNA, 507 nt
Filed under: uncultured bacterium
Lineage: Bacteria
Description: bacterial SSU rRNA
Rfam family: Bacterial small subunit ribosomal RNA
Source: RNAcentral